UUGGAGGGCAAGUCUGGUGCCAGCAGCCGCGGUAAUUCCAGCUCCAAUAGCGUAUAUUAAAGUUGUUGUGGUUAAAAAGCUCGUAGUUGAACCUUGGGCCUGGCUGGCCGGUCCGCCUCACCGCGUGUACUGGUCCGGCCGGGCCUUUCCCUCUGUGGAACCCCAUGCCCUUCACUGGGCGUGGCGGGGAAACAGGACUUUUACUGUGAAAAAAUUAGAGUGCUCCAGGCAGGCCUAUGCUCGAAUACAUUAGCAUGGAAUAAUAGAAUAGGACGUGUGGUUCUAUCUUGUUGGUUUCUAGGACCGCCGUAAUGAUUAAUAGGGACAGUCGGGGGCAUCAGUAUUCAAUUGUCAGAGGUGAAAUUCUUGGAUUUAUUGAAGACUAACUACUGCGAAAGCAUUUGCCAAGGAUGUUUUCAUUAAUCAGGAACGAAAGUUAGGGGAUCGAAGACGAUCAGAUACCGUCGUAGUCUUAACCAUAAACUAUGCCGACUAGGGAUCGGACGGUGUUAUUUUUUGACCCGUUCGGCGCCUUACGGGAAAC
RNAcentral lists this ribosomal RNA (544 nucleotides) under uncultured Ascomycota. Its description in RNAcentral is "SSU rRNA". It matches the Rfam family "Eukaryotic small subunit ribosomal RNA", at positions 548 to 1098 of the family's 1831-position model. The record is from RNAcentral. Lineage: Eukaryota; Fungi; Ascomycota.